UCUACACUUCGCAGGACCAGUACAAACAAACCUCUCUUACCCCUAAGGGCAGAGAUGACCCAACCCUUCCCCACCACGUCCUAAACUACUGUGUAUAACACACUGGAUGGCUGUACAGUUCGGCAUGGCCACCCUCAGAUUAACAUCCCUCAAUGCUAGGGGCCUAAAUCUUCCUGAAAAAAAGAUCACAGGUACUUGCAGAGAUCCUCCACUUAAAAGCUGACAUAGCUUUUAUACAGGCAACUCA
Pelobates cultripes (western spadefoot toad) is the source of this 247-nucleotide non-coding RNA. NCBI's taxonomy places the organism in Eukaryota, Metazoa, Chordata, Amphibia, Anura, Pelobatidae. The record is from the annotation of a GenBank genome assembly.